GGUGGCUUAGUGGUAGAGUGUUUGCCUUGCAUGCACAAGGCCCUGGGUUCAAUUCCUCAGCACCA
This 65-nucleotide transfer RNA is filed under the name Dipodomys ordii (Ord's kangaroo rat). It matches the Rfam family "tRNA". Rfam says of the family: Transfer RNA (tRNA) molecules are approximately 80 nucleotides in length. The record is from Rfam by way of RNAcentral. Lineage: Eukaryota; Metazoa; Chordata; Mammalia; Rodentia; Heteromyidae.